Molecule: ribosomal RNA, 461 nt
Filed under: uncultured bacterium
Lineage: Bacteria
Description: bacterial SSU rRNA
Rfam family: Bacterial small subunit ribosomal RNA
Source: RNAcentral
CCUANGGGUGGCAGCAGUUAAGAAUCUUGCACAAUGGGCGAAAGCCUGAUGCAGCGACACCGCGUGAGCGAUGAAGGCCUUCGGGUUGUAAAGCUCUUUUCUGGGAGAAGAAACAGGUGGUUAAUAGCCAUCAACUGACGGUACCCCAGGAAUAAGCCUCGGCUAAUUACGUGCCAGCAGCCGCGGUAAUACGUAAGAGGCGAGCGUUGUCCGGAAUCACUGGGCGUAAAGCGCGUGUAGGUGGCUUGGUAAGUCGGAUGUGAAAUCCCCGGGCUCAACCCGGGAACUGCGUCCGAAACUGCCUCGCUCGAGAGCAGAAGAGGAAAGUGGAAUUCCGGGUGUAGCGGUGAAAUGCGUAGAUAUCCGGAGGAACACCAGUGGCGAAGGCGGCUUUCUGGUCUGUUUCUGACACUGAGACGCGAAAGCGUGGGGAGCGAACGGGAUUAGAUACCCUUNUANUC